Molecule: ribosomal RNA, 305 nt
Filed under: uncultured bacterium
Lineage: Bacteria
Description: bacterial SSU rRNA
Rfam family: Bacterial small subunit ribosomal RNA
Source: RNAcentral
UGCCUACGGGAGGCAGCAGUGAGGAAUAUUGGUCAAUGGGCGGAAGCCUGAACCAGCCAAGUCGCGUGAGGGAAUAAGGCCCUACGGGUCGUAAACCUCUUUUGCCGGGGAGCAAGGGCCGGGACGAGUCCCGGUCCGGAGAGUACCCGGAGAAAAAGCAUCGGCUAACUCCGUGCCAGCAGCCGCGGUAAUACGGAGGAUGCGAGCGUUAUCCGGAUUUAUUGGGUUUAAAGGGUGCGUAGGCGGGACGGUAAGUCAGCGGUAAAAAUGCGGAGCUCAACUCCGUCGAGCCGUUGAAACUGGCG